This is a long non-coding RNA of Pistacia vera, 323 nucleotides long. RefSeq lists it as uncharacterized. The transcript has 2 exons. Lineage: Eukaryota; Viridiplantae; Streptophyta; Magnoliopsida; Sapindales; Anacardiaceae. The record is from RefSeq and is a predicted model, not a curated record.
CAAAAGUAGCAUAGAAUGAAGACACUAACUACUUCUCUUAAUAAAGGUAUCGGCUUUUCAGUACUGCACACAUGUGCUCAUUUAAUAAAUUCAAGGCCUACAGAUCAUCACCGUUAAAAAAAGCGCUGCUCAAAUAUAUUUAUGGUAACAUCAGGUGGCACCUCCAUCAAGCAGAUUAAAAUUAACCCCAAACCUAUGUGAGAAGACCGUAAUACAAUGAUCCACUUAAUCAAGCAAAUGCUGAUAGAAUAUUUUUCUUCAGGGUGAAUUCGUCUGCCUUUGCUGGGCUGAUCGACUGCACCAGAAUAAAAAAAUAAAAAAAA